RNAcentral lists this ribosomal RNA (394 nucleotides) under uncultured bacterium. Its description in RNAcentral is "partial 16S ribosomal RNA". It matches the Rfam family "Bacterial small subunit ribosomal RNA", at positions 523 to 918 of the family's 1533-position model. The record is from RNAcentral.
AUACGGAGGAUCCGAGCGUUAUCCGGAUUUAUUGGGUUUAAAGGGUGCGUAGGCGGAUGAUUAAGCGUGAGGUGAAAUGCCACUGCUCAACAGUGGAGCUGCCUCGCGAACUGGUUGUCUUGAAUGCUCCUGCCGUGGGAGGAAUGUGUGGUGUAGCGGUGAAAUGCAUAGAGAUCACACAGAACACCGAUUGCGAAGGCAUCUCACGAAGGGGUGAUUGACGCUGAGGCACGAAAGCGUGGGGAUCAAACAGGAUUAGAUACCCUGGUAGUCCACGCAGUAAACGAUGAUAACUAACCGCUGGGUCGUAGUGAUUCAGUGGCCAAGCGAAAGCGAUAAGUUAUCCACCUGGGGAGUACGACCGCAAGGUUGAAACUCAAAGGAAUUGGCGGGG